AGUGAACGCUGGCGGUAGGCCUAACACAUGCAAGUCGAACGGCAGCACAGUAAGAGCUUGCUCUUACGGGUGGCGAGUGGCGGACGGGUGAGGAAUACAUCGGAAUCUACUUUUUCGUGGGGGAUAACGUAGGGAAACUUACGCUAAUACCGCAUACGACCUACGGGUGAAAGCAGGGGAUCUUCGGACCUUGCGCGAUUGAAUGAGCCGAUGUCGGAUUAGCUAGUUGGCGGGGUAAAGGCCCACCAAGGCGACGAUCCGUAGCUGGUCUGAGAGGAUGAUCAGCCACACUGGAACUGGGACACGGUCCAGACUCCUACGGGAGGCAGCAGUGGGGAAUAUUGGACAAUGGGGGCGAGCCUGAUCCAGCCAUACCGCGUGGGUGAAGAAGGCCUUCGGGUUGUAAAGCCCUUUUGUUGGGAAAGAAAAGCAGCAGGUUAAUACCCCGCUGUUCUGACGGUACCCAAAGAAUAAGCACCGGCUAACUUCGUG
This 492-nucleotide ribosomal RNA is filed under the name uncultured bacterium. RNAcentral describes it as "partial 16S ribosomal RNA". It matches the Rfam family "Bacterial small subunit ribosomal RNA", at positions 29 to 507 of the family's 1533-position model. The record is from RNAcentral.